UAUCAUUGCUUUUAUGUUUCCGGUCUUUCAAGUUAGAAGAAUUGGAUUGUAUAGUUUUUUUUUUGAUUAUUUCAGUUAAUUUUUGCUUCAGUUUAUGAAUUAACAUUAGAUUUAAUUCUGUUACGUGAAAUCAUAACGUGUUUAUUAUAAAAAUAGUGUAAAGAAGUAAUAUAAUAUUUGAAUUACUUUACAACCAACAAACGUUUCAAAAAUGACGAUCGGUAAAAAUAAUAAAAUGCUUCAGCAUAUAAACUAUAGGGUUAGAAUCAUUCUUCAGGAUUCAAGAACCUUUAUAGGAACAUUUAAGGCGUUUGAUAAGCAUAUGAAUCUUAUUCUUGGAGAUUGUGAAGAAUUUCGUAAAAUUAAACCGAAGAAUACGAAACAACCUGAAACUGAACAAAAACGCGUUUUAGGUUUUGUACUUUUGAGAGGAGAAAAUAUUGUUUCUCUUACUGUAGAAGGUCCUCCACCUCCGGAGGAAGGAUUGCCUCGAGUUCCUAUUCCAGGCGCUGCGCCAGGUCCUGGUAUAGGACGACCUGCUGGUCGUGGCAUGCCUGCGAGUAUUGCAGGAGUACCUGCAGGUUUACAAGGACCGGUUAGAGGCAUUGGUGGUCCAUCGCAACAAAUAAUGACACCUGGUGGUAGAGGUCAAGUUUCAGCGCCACCACAAAUGCAUCCAGGUGGUCCUCCACGUAUGCCUGUAAGUGGACCACCACCUGGUAUGAUGGGACCACCACCAGGGAUGAUGGGAAUGCCACCUGGAAUGCCACCAAUGGGAAGAGGCGGCCCACCAAUGGGACCACCAGGAAUGCGUGGCCCACCACCUGCAUAUUGAUCUUAUGAUAUUUGAGGAUGGACAUUCCAGAGUGCUACAAAUGUUUCGGGAAGCACUGCUGCUAUAGUUUUAUGCAUGGCAUAUGGCAGGUUCUUACAACCAAAAUUUAAUAUAAGAUGUACUAUUAAGAUCACACACACAAGAAAUUCUACUUCAUCUGAUAUAGUUAUGUGAAUAUGAAAUAUAUGAUUACUUUUAAAAACGUGUCUAUGUUCAUGUGUGCUCUUAGAUCAUGUGUCAACUACAAUAUAUAAAAUAAUCACAA
RNAcentral lists this unclassified non-coding RNA (1100 nucleotides) under Polistes fuscatus (common paper wasp). RNAcentral describes it as "small nuclear ribonucleoprotein-associated protein B, transcript variant X3". The record is from RNAcentral. Lineage: Eukaryota; Metazoa; Arthropoda; Insecta; Hymenoptera; Vespidae.